UGUCGUCAGCUCGUGUUGUGAAAUGUUGGGUUAAGUCCCGCAACGAGCGCAACCCUUAUCCUUUGUUGCCAGCGGUCCGGCCGGGAACUCAAAGGAGACUGCCAGUGAUAAACUGGAGGAAGGUGGGGAUGACGUCAAGUCAUCAUGGCCCUUACGACCAGGGCUACACACGUGCUACAAUGGCGCAUACAAAGAGAAGCGACCUCGCGAGAGCAAGCGGACCUCAUAAAGUGCGUCGUAGUCCGGAUUGGAGUCUGCAACUCGACUCCAUGAAGUCGGAAUCGCUAGUAAUCGUGGAUCAGAAUGCCACGGUGAAUACGUUCCCGGGCCUUGUACACACCGCCCGUCACACCAUGGGAGUGGGUUGCAAAAGAAGUAGGUAGCUUAACCUUCGGGAGGGCGCUUACCACUUUGUGAUUCAUGACUGGGGUGAAG
Molecule: ribosomal RNA, 435 nt
Filed under: Escherichia coli
Lineage: Bacteria; Pseudomonadati; Pseudomonadota; Gammaproteobacteria; Enterobacterales; Enterobacteriaceae
Also listed under: 1 other name
Description: bacterial SSU rRNA
Rfam family: Bacterial small subunit ribosomal RNA
Source: RNAcentral